UACAGAGGGGGCAAGCGUUAUUCGGAAUUAUUGGGCGUAAAGGGCUCGUAGGCGGUUUGUCACGUCGGGAGUGAAAACUCAGGGCUCAACCCUGAGCGUGCUUCCGAUACGGGCAGACUAGAGGUAUGCAGGGAGAACGGAAUUCCUGGUGUAGCGGUGGAAUGCGCAGAUAUCAGGAGGAACACCGGUGGCGAAGGCGGUUCUCUGGGCAUGACCUGACGCUGAGGAGCGAAAGCAUGGGGAGCGAACAGG
Molecule: ribosomal RNA, 252 nt
Filed under: uncultured bacterium
Lineage: Bacteria
Description: partial 16S ribosomal RNA
Rfam family: Bacterial small subunit ribosomal RNA
Source: RNAcentral